Molecule: long non-coding RNA, 4924 nt
Filed under: Sus scrofa (pig)
Lineage: Eukaryota; Metazoa; Chordata; Mammalia; Artiodactyla; Suidae
Description: lncRNA (ENSSSCG00000062061.1)
Source: RNAcentral
UCAGGGGCACAGUAUAUUCAUGGGGGCAUUUUUAGUUCUGCACUUCUGCCUACUCUGGCCUACCUGAGCUGCCCGCCCCUGGUCUCCCUUGCACCCUCUGUGUAUGCAGCUCCCUGGAGCUCUGAGUGUGAGCUCAUGGCCAGGCCAGUGUGCUGUGUAUGGAGGCCCAGCCUCCCUGCCUCCUGGAUGGCCUCCAUCCUCCUGCUGCUGGAUGAUUUGCACUGUCCUCCUCGACAUGGCUGCCUAGUACUGACUCCACAGAAAGCCCUGGGGAGGGCCUAGUGGGAGUCCCUGGGAUUUAUCGCUUUACCUUUCAGAGUAUAUGUUCUUAUGUCAGAAAUAGGGAAAAGAUACUUGUCUGGUAACAAGAUGUCAGUGGGUCUGGUUAAGUAGACACUGUGGAACAGUGGUUUAUACACAGGAAGAAAAUUAUCAAAGCUGUUAUCACUGAAUUAUUGAUGUGUGUAAAUUAAACAUCUUAGUGUAUGUAUCAAGAAUCUGUUCAAGUAACAGAAAACUCAUGAUAUAGUGAGUUGUUUCUCACACAUGAGGAGUCCCAAGGUUCCUAGUCUCUGGUUGAUGUUUCUGUGAUUCUCCUGACCACCUGGCCACAAGAUGGCUGCUGAAACACUAGCCAUCACGUCCUAGUUCAAGGGAGGAAAAGGGAUCAGUGAGUGCCAGCUAUUUCUGAUUUUCUUUUUUCGGGAUUGCAAAGAUUUCCCAGAAUUCUCCAGACAGAUUUAUACUUAGGUUUUAUUGGCCAGAACUGGGUCACAUGGCUACCAGGGGCUCAGAGGGAGGCAGAGACAGCAGGGGAUAGUGUUGUAUUAAAUUAGCUGGUGUUGGCUCAUCCCCCACCAAGAUCCAUUGCCUGAGGCCAGGCACAUGAACCCACCAUCACCACCAAAGCUGGGUUCUGAUGGUGAGAAAGAAGGGGACUGAGGCCAGGUGAACAACAAACAAAAGCAGUGUCUCUCAAGGAUACACUUUACUGCCUAAGAGCUGGAGUGCAAAAUUACCCCUGGUAGAAAGGCUACAGGAUUCUCUGAAAGGAACACUGUCCAGUAUUUCUUAUCUGGGAUUUGGAUCGAAGAUAGUCUGGGGGACUUGGAGCCAGGAGUGACUCUCGCCUGGUGGAAGGCAGGUGUUGGGACCUGACCCUGGUUUGUCCUCUAUCCUCUCCCACACGCUGGCUGCCAUCUUCUUCCUUGCACCCUUCUCCUUUCCCAUUGGCAUCUGUCUUGGAUGUCUCCACACACCUCUCCAUCUCUUGGCUUCCUGCUGGCUUUGCUUUUCCUUCAGUUUUCACUUUGGUCAUUUGUGCAAGAAGGUUCAAAAGGAAGGUUUCUUCAACAGGUCAUGCUGGGCAUGGUGGACAGCUCCAUGUAAAACAGUGAGAUUAGAACACUCCUUCACACCAUAUACAAAAAUAAAGUCAAAAUGAAUUAAAGACCUAAGCAUAAGGUCUGAAGCCAUAAAAUUCCUCAAAAAGAACCUAGGCAAAAUAUUCUGUGACAUAAAUUGAGGCAAUGUUUUCUUAGCCCAAUCUCCCAAGGCAAUAGAAAUAAAAAUAAGGAAGUGGGACCUAUUUAAACUUAAAAGAUCCUGCACAGCAAAGGAAACCAUUGACAAAAUGAAAAGACCUACAGAAUGAGAGAAAAUAUUUGCAAAUGAUGUGACUGACAGGGGGUUAAUACCCAAAAUACAUAAAUGGCUCAAUACCUCAAUAUCAAAAAACAAACAACCCAAUCAAAAGAUGGGCAGAAGACCAGAAUAUAUAUUUCUCCAAAGAAGACCUAUAGAUGGCAAAUAGGCUCAUGAAAAGAUGUUCAGCAUUGCUAACUAUUAGGAAAAUGCAAAUUAAAACUUCAGUGAGGUUAUCACUUCACAUCUGUCAGAAUGGCCAUCAUCAAAAAGUUUACAAAUAACAUGUUGGAGAGGGUUUGAAGAGAAGGGAACGCUCCUGUGCUAUUGGUAGGAAUGUAAAUUGGUGCAGCUGCUGUGGAAAACAAUAUGGAAGUUCCUCAGAAAAUAAAGGUAGAACUACCAUAUGAUCCAGCAAUUCCAUUCUUGAGUAUAUAUCAAAAGAAAACAAAAACACUAUUCAAAAAGAUACGUGCACCCCAAUGUUCAUAGCAACACUUUUUACAAUAGCCAAGACAUGGAGGCAACCCCAGUGCCCACAAACAGAUGACUGGAUAAAGAAGAUGUGGUACAUAUAUAUAAUGUAAUAUUCAUUACUCAGCCAUUAAAAAGAAUGACAUGCAUGGGAGUUCCCAUCAUUGUGCCAUAGGAGCAAAUCUGACUAGGAACCAUGAGGUUGUGGUUUUGAUCCCUGGCCUUGCUCAGUGGGUUAAGGAUCCAGUGUUGCCAUGAGCUGUGGUGUAGGUCACAGACGUGGCUCGGACCUGAUCUUGCUGUUGCUGUUGCUGUGGUGUAGGUUGGUGACUACAGCUCCGAUUGGACCCCUAUCCUGGAAACUUCCAUAUGCCAUGAAUGUGGCCCUAAAAAGACAAAAAAAAAAAAAAAAAUGCUGCCAUUUGCAGCAAGCUGGAUGGGCCUAGAGAUUAUCAUACAAAGUGAAGUCAGACCGAGAAAGACAAAUACUGUAUGAUAUUGCUUAUAUGUGGAAUCUGACAGAAAUGAAUGUAUAUGCAAAACAGAAACAGACUCAGAGACAUAGAAAACAAAUAUAUGGUUACCAAAGGAGAGAGGGAAAGCAUGGGGCAAGCUGGGGGUAGAGGAUUAAGAGAUACAAACUCUAUUAUGUGUAAAAUACAUAGCAAGGAUAUAUUGUACAACCUAGGGAAUUAUAGCCAUUAUCUUGUAUUUACUUAAAAUCUGCAAAAAUACUGAAUCAGGUAUAUUCUGUAUACCUGAAACUAAUAUAAUAUGGGAAAUCAACCAUACUGCAAUAAAAAAAGAAAAGCAGGAUGCUGUGCCUGAUUAAACAUUGUAACAGGAAGCAGGCCUGGGUGUCACCCUAUCAGGGUGGGGUUGGGAAAGACCAGGGCUGGGCUGUCUCCUUGGGCACCUGGUCUGUGUGCACGAGCUCAGCACCACUGCCCUGAGAAGUCCUUCCGAGCUCAUGUUCCUGGACAUGUUCAUCUAAAUACGGUGCAUGUUGUGAGAAUGUGGCCCAUGUCACUGUGGAUGCUUGACUCUAUUUCCAGGAAUUCUGGUUCACCUUGAGGAUUGUGUAAGGAGGCAGAAUUUUGCCCAAAUAGGAAGACUGCUUUGCAUUGAAAGUUGAUCCUGGCACCUUGCUGAUGGUUUGGCAAUUGUCCAAUUGUGUUUUCAUUGAAGUUGUGGACAUUUGAGGGUUUUUUCCCUCUUGGUAUCAGAUUUUUAUCCCACCAUCUGUAGGCAUUUAUUAGCUCAGCUGUAGCACAAAAUAGUAGAUGUUUGGAUUUUCUCCCCUCUGACCCUCUCUUAGUCCAUUUGGGUGGCUGUAACCAAAAUACCAUGGACUGGGCAGCUUGUAAACCACAGAAAUUUUAUUCUCACAAGUGAGGGAGCUCUGUGGGGUCUCUUCUGUAAGAACACUAAUCCCAUUCACAAGGGCCCCACCCUCAUGACCUAUCGAUCUCCCAAAGAUUCCACCUCCUAAUAGAUCAUCUUUGGGGGUUAGGAUUUCAACAUAUGAAUUUGGGAAGAGCAUAAACAUUCAGACCAUAGCAGACCCUUUCUCUGUGUAGAAGUUGCACAUGUUUUGAGGUGUCAGCUGCUUCAAGUGCCAAAGGAAGAUGACGUCUAUUACUAGUUUAAGGAAAAAGUUUGAUUAAACAAUGGCAACUCUAGGCAGGGAAACUUCCUCUGCAUCAUUAAAAGUAAAAACAGCAUAUUGGAGUUCCUGUUGUGACUCAGUGGGUUAAGAACCUGACAUGGUGUCCAUGAGGGUGCAGGGUCAGGCCUUGCUGAGUGGGUUAAGGAUCCUCCUGCGUUGCUGCAAGCUGCAGUAUAGGUCAAGAUGUGGUUCAGAUCCGAUGUUGCUAUGGCUGUGGCAUAGCAGUAACGAACCUGACUAGCAUCCAUGAGGACGUGGGUUCAAUCCCUGUCCACUCUCAAUGGGUUAAGGAUCCGGUGUUGCCAUGAGCUGUGGUGUAGUUCUCAGAUGUGGCUGAAAUAUGGCAUGGCUGUGGCUGUGGCUGUGGCCAGCAGCUGCAACUCUGAUUUGACUCCUAGUCUGGGAAAUUCCUUAUGCUUUUGGUGUGGCCCUAAAAAGACAAAAAAAAAAUUAAAAAAUAAAGAAGUGACAUAGACCAAGGCAUAGACACGGCAGGGGGCAGCUUCCUAGAAGGGUUCUGUUACUUCCUUUGCUGUGUUGUUUGCUUGUUUUCUGCUCUCUGAUGUCAGAUCUAUUUUACUUCUGUGAGGAUAUGAGACUCUAAUCAAAUGUAGCACAUCCAUGGCUGGGAGACUGGCUGCAGUCGGCACAGCUGUGGUGCCAGACAGAGCCUUGUGACCUUGCUGAGCCACUGUGGGCAUCUCCAGCUCUUUCUCCAGAAUCUGCCCAGACUGGAGCUCGUCCUGGUCAACCCCCAAGUCAUUUUGAGCCCAGAUAAGAGAUCAAAUGUAUUUCUCCAUUUUUUGCUGCAUCUCUUGGACUAAAUGAGAGUGCAGUUUGGAGACAGAAGAAGUAAUAUAUAAGAGCUUAAUAAUAGGAACUUAGAAUUUUAAUCAGAAAUUAAGCGCAUUCAGGAGUUCCUGUCAUGGCUCAGUGGUUAACGAACCCAACUAGUAUCCAUGAGGAUUCAGGUUCUAUUCCUGGCCUUGCUUAGUGGGUUAAGGAUCUGGCAUUGCAGUGAGCUGUGGUGUAGGUCACAGACACAGCUUGGAUCAUGCAUUGCUAUGGCUGUGAUGUAGGCUGGCAGCUGUAGCUCUGAUUCGACCCCUAGCCUGGAAACCUCCAUAUGCUGUGGGU